UACGGAGGAUCCAAGCGUUAUCCGGAUUUAUUGGGUUUAAAGGGUGCGUAGGCGGCCUGUUAAGUCAGGGGUGAAAGACGGUAGCUCAACUAUCGCAGUGCCCUUGAUACUGACGGGCUUGAAUGAACUAGAGGUAGGCGGAAUGUGACAAGUAGCGGUGAAAUGCAUAGAUAUGUCACAGAACACCGAUUGCGAAGGCAGCUUACUAUGGUUUUUAUUGACGCUGAGGCACGAAAGCGUGGGGGAUCAAACAGG
Molecule: ribosomal RNA, 255 nt
Filed under: uncultured bacterium
Lineage: Bacteria
Description: partial 16S ribosomal RNA
Rfam family: Bacterial small subunit ribosomal RNA
Source: RNAcentral